AGAGAGAUUCCCUAGGGGAGUUUUUAAGUGUAAAUUUUCCUAAAGUGAUCUUUGUAACCAUCAAAAUAGAGACAUGGUUCCUAUUCAGCUUUUAUGCUUUUCAGUUCUAGUUAAAAAAGUACAGCCAUUUGCAUGCUUGUUUAUGCCUGUGAUCCUGUAGAAAUGAAAAAAGUGUGUUUUGAAAUCCUUCAUUUAUGACUUUUUUUCUUUAUUUUGAUUGGUUCAUUUAUAAUUAUUAUUUUCUUCAUCUGGAUGCAAGUCAAUUAGAACCAUCCUUUUCUUUUUAGUCAAAAUUAUCAAAUCAAUAACAAUUUAUUAUGUCAAUUUUUACAGUUUAAAGUCUCGGUGGGUUGGGUUUGGCAAGGAACUUAUUUCUUGCAGUUUGAUACUAAUCGCUGCUCUGUGUUUUUUUUUUUUUUUUUU
Molecule: unclassified non-coding RNA, 423 nt
Filed under: Hevea brasiliensis (rubber tree)
Lineage: Eukaryota; Viridiplantae; Streptophyta; Magnoliopsida; Malpighiales; Euphorbiaceae
Source: RNAcentral